This 71-nucleotide transfer RNA is filed under the name Bombus kashmirensis. RNAcentral's name for it is "tRNA-Val". Lineage: Eukaryota; Metazoa; Arthropoda; Insecta; Hymenoptera; Apidae. The record is from RNAcentral.
AAAAUUUUAGUUUAAGAAAAAUAUUUCAUUUACAAUGAAAAGUUUAAUUAAUGAAUAUUAUUAAAAUUUUA